UGGGAGCAGCGGCAGCAGCUUCGGCUGCUGCUUUCAGGCUGCCGCUGCAUUAGGGGCUUCCUGAGGAAGCGCGGGCGGACGACAGAGGAUGCCGAACCACUCCAGUCAUGACUGUCCAAAGUAUGAUAAUCACAUGAGAGUGCUCGUUGCUACGGAUGUCAUUUGACUCAUCAGAGAAAAUCUGUCUAAAAGAAAAUAUCCAUGUGACCAAAUCCAUUUCAUUAUUGAAUGGCUUGAUGGAUUUCCUUUACUCUGAUUCAUACCAAAGCUGUCCUUCUCAACCAAAGCAAGAAAGGAUCCUGCAUGAGUCAAUCCCAGAAUGCAAUUUUUACAUCACCAACAGGUGAAGAAAACCUCAUGAAUAGCAAUCACAGAGACUCGGAGAGCAUCACUGCAAAAUGUUUUUGAGAUUUAUCCACUUGUGAUAAGUAUCAGAAGUUGUUUCUUUUUAUUGCUAAGCUGGAACUUACUCAUCCCUGCUAUUGUAGCAGAAAAGCAGCCUUGGACAGUACAUGAAAAAAUGAAUGUGACUGUGUUUCAAUAAAACUUGAUUUACAAAAACAGGCGGGGCAGCAAGCCGAAGUUGGCCUGUGGGCUGUCGUUUGCUGACCUCUACUGUACAUCAACACUUGGUAAUGUCAGUGAU
Molecule: long non-coding RNA, 646 nt
Filed under: Homo sapiens (human)
Lineage: Eukaryota; Metazoa; Chordata; Mammalia; Primates; Hominidae
Description: non-protein coding lnc-C2CD6-2:1
Source: RNAcentral